AUACGGAGGAUGCAAGCGUUAUCCGGAUUUAUUGGGUUUAAAGGGUGCGUAGGCGGAAAUUUAAGUCAGUGAUGAAAUCCUGCGGCUCAACCGUAGAACUGUUAUUGAUACUGAAUUUCUUGAAUACAGUUGAGGUAGGCGGAAUGAGUAAUGUAGCGGUGAAAUGCUUAGAUAUUACUCAGAACACCGAUUGCGAAGGCAGCUUACUAAACUGAUAUUGACGCUGAGGCACGAAAGCGUGGGGAGCGAACAGGAUUAGAUACCCUGGUAGUCCACGCCGUAAACGAUGAUCACUCGUUGUUGGCAAUACACCGUCAGCGACUGAGCGAAAGCAUUAAGUGAUCCACCUGGGGAGUACGAUCGCAAGAUUGAA
This 373-nucleotide ribosomal RNA is filed under the name uncultured bacterium. RNAcentral's name for it is "bacterial SSU rRNA". It matches the Rfam family "Bacterial small subunit ribosomal RNA", at positions 523 to 898 of the family's 1533-position model. The record is from RNAcentral.